UUUGCUCUUCUUUCUUCCUUCUACGACAGAUCUCUAUCUUCCCUUAUGUUUCUAGUAUCUUACUCUUUGUCUUUUUCUUUCAUUAUUCCCCGCAAAUCUCAUCACCUCUCUUUUUCUUCGAUAUGUUCAAUCCUCUUCUCCUGGAUCCCGAGCUUUUCUACUAAUUCGAAGUAUUACUCACAGAUCUCCUCUCGUUUCGAGACUCGGUUUACUUACUCAGAGAACCAGAUUCGUGUCUAGUUUGAAGCGGUUGAGUUUGAAGCCACAAUUUCGUGUCCUAGAUAUGUUGUUUCGUGGAGAGCUUGAUAUUGGAAGAAGACAGAGGAAGAGGACGACGGCUCAGAUCUGUUUGACGGGUUUGCGACAUGGAUAUUACAUGGAGUUGGAUCGAGGAAGAUAGGAGAGAAGAGAUGGAGUUGGUUUAGAGGCGAGGGAAGAGAGACAGAUAAGAAGUUUGAUGGCGGUGGAAGAGUAGAUUGAUGCAGUUGGUUGACGAUGGCGAAGAGUUGGUGCAGAGAUAGGAUUAAUUUUUUUUGUUAGGUUAAACCGGUUUAGUUUUUUAUUUAUUUCUAAACCGGGUUUAUGUGUAAACCUUAGGUUAAUUAUGGUUUGGUUUAAUUUUUUAAUCUGUUUUUGGUUUAACGUGUUCUUAAUCAUUUGUAUACUGAUUUUAAUCAAUA
This is a long non-coding RNA of Raphanus sativus (radish), 680 nucleotides long. RefSeq lists it as uncharacterized. Lineage: Eukaryota; Viridiplantae; Streptophyta; Magnoliopsida; Brassicales; Brassicaceae. The transcript is spliced from 3 exons. The record is from RefSeq and is a predicted model, not a curated record.